Molecule: ribosomal RNA, 498 nt
Filed under: uncultured bacterium
Lineage: Bacteria
Description: bacterial SSU rRNA
Rfam family: Bacterial small subunit ribosomal RNA
Source: RNAcentral
CGAACGCUGGCGGCGCGUUUAAGCAUGCAAGUCGAGCGGCAAGGGCCUUCGGGCCCCUAGAGCGGCGGACGGGUGAGUAACACGUGGACAAUCUGCCCCCCGGCCCGGGAUAGCCCAGGGAAACCUGGAUUAAUACCGGAUGAGACGGGACCCGCGAUGGCGGGACCCGGGAAAGGCGCUGCGGCGCCGCCGGGGGAUGAGUCUGCGUCCCAUUAGCUAGACGGCGGGGUAACGGCCCACCGUGGCGACGAUGGGUAGCCGGCCUGAGAGGGUGGACGGCCACAUUGGAACUGAGACACGGUCCAGACUCCUACGGGAGGCAGCAGCUAAGAAUCUUCCGCAAUGGGCGAAAGCCUGACGGAGCCGACGCCGCGUGAACGAAGAAGGCCGUGAGGUUGUAAAGUUCUUUUCGGGAGGGGGAACAACCGUGGCAGGGAAUGGCCGCGGGAUGACGUGAAUCCCGGAAUAAGCCCCGGCUAACUACGUGCCAGCCGCUGC